This 484-nucleotide ribosomal RNA is filed under the name uncultured bacterium. RNAcentral describes it as "bacterial SSU rRNA". It matches the Rfam family "Bacterial small subunit ribosomal RNA", at positions 30 to 507 of the family's 1533-position model. The record is from RNAcentral.
AUUGAACGCUGGCGGAAUGCUUUACACAUGCAAGUCGAACGGUAGAGGGGGCAACCCCCUUGAGAGUGGCGAACGGGUGAGUAAUAUAUCGGAACGUGCCCAGUCGUGGGGGAUAACGUAGCGAAAGUUACGCUAAUACCGCAUACGAUCUACGGAUGAAAGCGGGGGACUCGCAAGAGCCUCGCGCGAUUGGAGCGGCCGAUAUCAGAUUAGGUAGUUGGUGGGGUAAAGGCUCACCAAGCCAACGAUCUGUAGCUGGUCUGAGAGGACGGACCAGCCACACUGGAACUGAGACACGGUCCAGACUCCUACGGGAGGCAGCAGUGGGGAAUUUUGGACAAUGGACGCAAGUCUGAUCCAGCCAUUCCGCGUGCAGGAUGAAAGGCCCUCGGGUUGUAAACUGCUUUUGUACGGACGAAAAGGUUUCCAUUAAUACUGGGAGCUCAUGACGGUACCGUAAGAAUAAGCACCGGCUAACUACGUG